AGUGGCGGACGAGUGAGUAACGCGUAAGAAUCUAACUUCAGGACGGGGACAACAGUGGGAAACGACUGCUAAUACCCGAUGUGCCGCAAGGUGAAACCUAAUUGGCCUGGAGAAGAGCUUGCGUCUGAUUAGCUAGUUGGUGGGGUAAAGGCCUACCAAGGCGACGAUCAGUAGCUGGUCUGAGAGGAUGAGCAGCCACACUGGGACAGAGACACGGCCCAGACUCCUACGGGAGGCAGCAGUGGGGAAUUUUCCGCAAUGGGCGAAAGCCUGACGGAGCAACGCCGCGUGAGGGAGGAAGGUCUUUGGAUUGUAAACCUCUUUUCUCAAGGAAGAAGUUCUGACGGUACUUGAGGAAUCAGCCUCGGCUAACUCCGUGCCAGCAGCCGCGGUAAUACGGGGGAGGCAAGCGUUAUCCGGAAUUAUUGGGCGUAAAGCGUCCGCAGGUGGUCAGCCAAGUCUGCCGUCAAAUCAGGUUGCUUAACGACCUAAAGGCGGUGGAAACUGGCAGACUAGAGAGCAGUAGGGGUAGCAGGAAUUCCCAGUGUAGCGGUGAAAUGCGUAGAGAUUGGGAAGAACAUCGGUGGCGAAAGCGUGCUACUGGGCUGUAUCUGACACUCAGGGACGAAAGCUAGGGGAGCGAAAGGGAUUAGAUACCCCUGUAGUCCUAGCCGUAAACGAUGGAUACUAGGCGUGGCUU
RNAcentral lists this ribosomal RNA (700 nucleotides) under uncultured bacterium. Its description in RNAcentral is "bacterial SSU rRNA". It matches the Rfam family "Bacterial small subunit ribosomal RNA", at positions 94 to 828 of the family's 1533-position model. The record is from RNAcentral.